This is a long non-coding RNA of Cryptotermes secundus, 1059 nucleotides long. RefSeq lists it as uncharacterized. The transcript has 3 exons. The record is from RefSeq and is a predicted model, not a curated record. Lineage: Eukaryota; Metazoa; Arthropoda; Insecta; Blattodea; Kalotermitidae.
CCUCCUGCAAGAAGCUACUUGUUUUCAGUACUGGGAUCAUUAUUUUGUUACAGGAUAAAUUCCCAUUUUACUGAUUCCAGUUUAUUGUUAUUAUAAUGACCUUACGCGGGGAAGGAACAAAUUACAAUUACGAACUUUAAGAAGACAACAUUGGAAAAUAACAUUGCUAUCCCCAACCUUAAAGAAAGGAGGAAGUUAGACAAAAUUUAUGACGAGGUCCUCAGGUGUUUGCAGACAUGCUGGCACUAUAAGCUGGCCUUGUAACAUGUGGAGAGACAGACUAAAUCAUUUCAGAUUUUAAGUCUCAUGGCCGUGAUCACGAAGAAUUAACAUCUUCUGGAACAUGAGCCAUGUGUAUUCUAGAAGUAUUUUCUUCUGAAGCGUCGGUAACUUCUGCCAGACUACACGGAAUCACACUCAGGAGAUACGUAUUACUCUUCACAAUGUUUAACUAAGAGAAUUUAUGCCCCAUGGAUUAAGAAUAGAGACAUAACAUACACGUAACUAAAUUUGUCGUGAAUGACCUUGAAAUAUGGAGAUUUUUAAGAAUCUUAUUUUGUGCUAAAAUUGCCCGUUACGAAAGCAUCUCAGUCGGUUAUUUCUGAAUUAUGCAAGCAAUUUAUACUGCCACAUCAGUUGGUAUCUCCUAUCUGCUUGAAUAUCAAGAUAUUUCUCAUUAGUUUCUGUUACACUUCGUGUUACAUAAAGUUAUUUUUAAUUCCCGGCGCCGGUUCUCGCUGGUUCAUUGCGUAUAUUCCAGUAUUCAUAACUGUAUUAACAAGGGCACAAAGUUCUGAUGGUGUAUAUUUGUAUAAUGGUAUUGGGUUAAUGGUCUUGUAUAUAUUUCCGUACUGAUGCUAUAUCUUCCAGUUUUCCCUCCCUAACGGCAGUAAAAUAUUUCUUCCUUCUAUAUAAACGUCUAAAUGCGAGUGCCUUUGGCAACGACCCAUUGUGCAAAAUAAAUUGUGAAUUUCAGUGCAUUUGUAAUAUCUACGAGUAUUUCAAACAGUUUUCAAUGCGUUAAAUGUUUACUGAAAUAUACAUAAACAUUUCCGGCUA